Molecule: unclassified non-coding RNA, 377 nt
Filed under: uncultured Enterobacteriaceae bacterium
Lineage: Bacteria; Pseudomonadati; Pseudomonadota; Gammaproteobacteria; Enterobacterales; Enterobacteriaceae
Description: contains 16S-23S intergenic spacer region
Source: RNAcentral
UCCGGUUUAUCACCGGCAGUCUCCUUUGAGUUCCCGACGUUCUCGCUGGCAACAAAGGAUAAGGGUUGCGCUCGUUGCGGGACUUAACCCAACAUUUCACAACACGAGCUGACGACAGCCAUGCAGCACCUGUCUCAGAGUUCCCUAAGGCACUUUUCCGUUUCUGGAAAAUACUCUGGAUGUCAAGAGUAGGUAAGGUUCUUCGCGUUGCAUCGAAUUAAACCACAUGCUCCACCGCUUGUGCGGGCCCCCGUCAAUUCAUUUGAGUUUUAACCUUGCGGCCGUACUCCCCAGGCGGUCGAUUUAACGCGUUAGCUUCGGAAGCCGCGUCUCAAGGAGACAGCCUCCAAAUCGACAUCGUUUACAGCAUGGACUAC